CAGCCGCCGCGGGAAUACGAAGGGGGCUAGCGUUGUUCGGAUUAACUGGGCGUAAAGGGCGCGUAGGCGGGUUUUUAAGUCAGAGGUGAAAUCCCAAGGCUCAACCUUGGAACUGCCUUUGAUACUGGAAGUCUUGAGUCCGGGAGAGGUGAGUGGAACUGCGAGUGUAGAGGUGAAAUUCGUAGAUAUUCGCAAGAACACCAGCGGCGAAGGCGGCUCACUGGCCCGGUACUGACGCUGAGGCGCGAAAGCGCGGGGAGCAAACAGGAUUAGAUACCCGUGUAGUCCCUGUCUCUUAUAC
This 301-nucleotide ribosomal RNA is filed under the name uncultured bacterium. RNAcentral's name for it is "partial 16S ribosomal RNA". It matches the Rfam family "Bacterial small subunit ribosomal RNA", at positions 509 to 807 of the family's 1533-position model. The record is from RNAcentral.